AACCCAUGGUGAGGGCACUUUCUCAAUAAAUUCUUAUACCUUACCCAUGCAUAAUAUAGUCUUUAAGUCCAUCUGUACGAAGGAAGAGAUAUCAUUCCUCAACUU
This is a non-coding RNA of Gossypium arboreum, 105 nucleotides long. The record is from Rfam. Lineage: Eukaryota; Viridiplantae; Streptophyta; Magnoliopsida; Malvales; Malvaceae.